Molecule: ribosomal RNA, 497 nt
Filed under: uncultured bacterium
Lineage: Bacteria
Description: partial 16S ribosomal RNA
Rfam family: Bacterial small subunit ribosomal RNA
Source: RNAcentral
GACGAACGCUGGCGGCGUGCCUAAUACAUGCAAGUUGAGCGAUGAAGAUUGGUGCUUGCACCCAUUUGAAGAGCAGCGAACGGGUGAGUAACGCGUGGGGAAUCUGCCUUUGAGCGGGGGACAACAUUUGGAAACGAAUGCUAAUACCGCAUAACAACUUUAAACAUAAGUUUUAAGUUUGAAAGAUGCAAUUGCAUCACUCAAGGAUGAUCCCGCGUUGUAUUAGCUAGUUGGUGAGGUAAAGGCUCACCAAGGCGAUGAUACAUAGCCGACCUGAGAGGGUGAUCGGCCACAUUGGGACUGAGACACGGCCCAAACUCCUACGGGAGGCAGCAGUAGGGAAUCUUCGGCAAUGGACGAAAGUCUGACCGAGCAACGCCGCGUGAGUGAAGAAGGUUUUCGGAUCGUAAAACUCUGUUGGUAGAGAAGAACGUUGGUGAGAGUGGAAAGCUCAUCAAGUGACGGUAACUACCCAGAAAGGGACGGCUAACUACGUG